GGCGUCUCGUUCUCAUCGCGAGAAGAGGCGCACCCAGAGCGUACACGCUGGGACCCGAAAGAUGGUGAACUAUGCCUGGUCAGGACGAAGUCAGGGGAAACCCUGAUGGAGGUCCGUAGCGAUUCUGACGUGCAAAUCGAUCGUCGGAACUGGGUAUAGGGGCGAAAGACUAAUCGAACCUUCUAGUAGCUGGUUCCCUCCGAAGUUUCCCUCAGGAUAGCUGGCGCUCGCCUUUGCGAGUCUCAUUCGGUAAAGCGAAUGAUUAGAGGCAUUGGGGUCGAAACGGCCUCAACCUAUUCUCAAACUUUAAAUGGGUGAGAUCUCCGGCUUGCUUAAAGCGUGAAGCCGCGAGAUAUCGGAUCGAAGAGUGCCAAGUGGGCCACUUUUGGUAAGCAGAACUGGCGCUGUGGGAUGAACCAAACGCCGAGUUAAAGCGCCUAAAUCGACGCUUAUGGGAUACCAUGAAAGGCGUUGGUAACUUAAGACAGCAGGACGGUGG
RNAcentral lists this ribosomal RNA (499 nucleotides) under Demarziella mirifica. Its description in RNAcentral is "eukaryotic LSU rRNA". It matches the Rfam family "Eukaryotic large subunit ribosomal RNA", at positions 765 to 1251 of the family's 3401-position model. Lineage: Eukaryota; Metazoa; Arthropoda; Insecta; Coleoptera; Scarabaeidae. The record is from RNAcentral.